AGCAAUGAGUCACUUGACAUGUUGUUGUAUAGGUUCGUUUUAAAACAAAAAUGGCCGCCACGCCUAAUAGCUUAAGGAGCCUUAUAAGCCAUUGGAUUGUAGCCCCGAGGAAGCCUAAAGUGCCCCCCUAGGAGCUGAUCGAGAAAACAAGCGGAUUUAUCAAUGGGGCCUGAUGGAGUCAUGUGAACUCAUUCAUCAUCAUUUUAAUCAAUAAGAAAACCGAAGGCCCAGUCAUCUGCAAACUGCCCCCUUGCUGUCCAGAAUUGGCCCCUAGUGACUUCUUGAAACAAAACAAAAGCAGAGUCUCCGAGGAACCUCUGAAGAAAACCGAAGGCCCAGUCAUCUGCAAACUGCCCCCUUGCUGUCCAGAAUUAGCCCCCAGUGACUUCUUGAAAUAAAACAAAAGCAGAGUCUCCGAGGAACCUCUGAAGAAAACCGAAGGUCCAGUCGUCUGCAAACUGCCCCCUUGCUGUCCAGAAUUAGCCCCUAGUGACUUCUUGAAACAAAACAAAGAGUCUCCGAGGAACCUCUGGUGAGUUGAUUAUGGAAAAUUGUUUUUCUUCAAGCAUUAUUGGCAUUAAAGCACAAAAAAUUAAUCAUGUCUACACUCAAAUAUAAAAGAUUGGCCUAGCACCAAGCUUUAUACAUCAAAUAUAAAGGGUUACAGGAUAUUUUAGCAUAAUACAACAUUUGUUAAAAAUAUCACAAAAGCACAACACUAAAAAAAGCACAAAAACUAGCACUACACUAACAAAAAGAUAGCAGCAAAUUUGCGAGGGAGUGUUAUAGGGUAAAGGCACUAAGUACUUUCGAAUUCCCUGUAUAUCUCCUUAAGAGGAAAUAUACAUAAAACGUGUCACCAAUAUAUGCACCAAAUACUUUUAACCUCUAUAUAAAUAAAUAUUAGCAAAUUUCAAUAAAGCAUGCACAAAAAUCCAAAUUAACAAAACCCCACUAACCUCUAUAGCCUCUAAGAGGCUUCUUCUCAUCUUUUUCUUAUGUCCUCUCCUCUGGGCACUGAUUACCACCCGAGAGGGAGUCUACUUGCUUAUAUCUGAAAGAAAAGAAUAAACAUAUUUGAGAAACCAGUAAAUCCAAGGGAUUUAACAAAUUUCCAAGGAAAAUCAAUAAGAAACUAUUUGAAUGAAAAUCCAAUAAUGAAAUCGAUAUUUUAUAAGGGAGACUAAUGGCGGCCAUUUUGUCCCUGCUUGACGUCACCCAAACGAGUCCAAUGACCCUUGAAAAGUGAAAAUCUUUUCACACAAAUUUCCAUUAAAAAAAAUUGUCCCCACUAUUGAAUUAUACACCAAAAUGAAGCCCUCGAUGCAUAGAACACGAUUCAAGUACUUUUUCUUAUGCAACUCAAGAAUUAUCCCUGUUUUCACGAAAAAACCACUCUGGACCAAACAACAAAGGACCCUGCAGAAAACGAUCAUCUUACCUGACGAUUUACCGUCGAAAAAACGGGUGCACACUAUUAAAAAUUACAUCAAAAUGAAGCUCUCGGUUUAGAGAACACUUUUCACAUGUUUUUUAUCAUUAAUUUCCACUUUUCCCGAUUUCCUGGACGAUUUUCCGGGAGCUCCCCCCAAUUCCGGCACUCAGUGACGCCAUAACUGGCGACACUGCGCAUGCUCAUUGGAGCCGAACCAACUUGCACCAAUAUCCCCGAAAUUUCAAAAUAAUGACUUAAAUCGUCUAAUUCGGCCCCAAAAAGGCCGAUCUAGACGAUUCUUUCGUUGAAAUCGAUCGAGGAGGAUCCUCAGGUUUUCUGUGCAGUUUUUUUUUUUGUGUUUUAUACGUUUCAAGCUCCCAUAAAAUGUAUUUUAUGGUUAUGGUUAUGGCUCUCAAUUCUAGGCUCAAUUAAAGUUUCUGCCAUGAUUCUGCUUAAGCCAUAUAACUAAAGUUAAAGCUUUAUACACGAAUUUAAAGCUGGUUUCAUCCACUCUAAGAAUAUAUUUGACGCUUGACCCCUUUACGCAACAAAAGGUGAAAUUUUUACAAGUUUUGUGUUUAUUUCCAUCACCCGAGACCCUACCAUACCUACAGGUCAAAAAAUCUUCACUUCUAAUUGACAGAUUUGCUUGAUUUUUGGUCAUGAAAGCUUUAGAAGAUUGUUCUGUAACUUUGAGACAUAAAUCACUGAAGUUGGUUUAGCAGAACUCGUUUUAUACCCAAAUUUGUUGGAAUCUGUUAGUUGAAGCCCCAUUUAUGUAUAAGUUGGAAUAUCUUCUCUUCUUAUCAACAUAUUUUCUUGAUUUUGGUCUUAAAAGCUUUAAAUUAACGCUCUGCAACUUUUAAGACAUAAACCAUUAAAAUUGGUACCGUAGAACUGCUUUUGGCUCCAGACUUGUAAAAAUCCCAUACCCCCAAGUCAUUUUUUCGUAAAAUGUUCAAUAUCUUCUCUUCCUAUAAAUGGAUAUACUUGAUUUUGGUCUUAAAAGCUUUGAAUUAACGCUCUGCAACUUUUAAGACAUCAACCAUUAAAAUUGGUACCGUAGAACUGCUUUUGGCUCCAGACUUGUAAAAAUCCCAUACCCCCAAGUCAUUUUUUCGUAAAAUGUUCAAUAUCUUCUCUUCCUAUAAACGGAUAUACUUGAUUUUGGUCUUAAAAGCUUUGAAUUAACGCUCUGCAACUUUUAAGACAUCAACCAUUAAAAUUGGUACGGUAGAACUGCUUUUGGCUACAGACUUGUAAAAAUCCCAUACCCCCAAGUCAUAUUUUUGUAAGUUGUUCAAUAUCUUCUCUUCCCAUCGACAGAUUUUCUUGAUUUUGGUCUUAAAAGCUUUGAAUUAACGCUCUGCAACUUUUAAGACAUAAACCAUUAAAAUUGGUACGGUAGAACUGCUUUUGGCUACAGACUUGUAAAAAUCCCAUACCCCAAGUCAUAUUUUUGUAAGUUGUUCAAUAUCUUCUCUUCCUAUCGACAGAUUUUCUUGAUUUUAGUCUUAAAAGCUUUGUAUUAACGCCCUGCAACUUUUAAGACAUAAACCAUUAAAAUUGGUACCAUAGAACUGCUUUUGGCGACAGACAUGUAAAAAUCCCAUACCCCCAAGUCAUAUUUUUGUAAGUUGUUCAAUAUCUUCUCUUCCUAUCGACAGAUUUUUUUGAUUUUGGUCUUAAAAGCUUUGUAUUAACGCCCUGCAACUUUUAAGACAUAAACCAUUAAAAUUGGUACGGUAGAACUGCUUUUGGCUACAGACUUGUAAAAAUCCCAUACCCCAAGUCAUAUUUUUGUAAGUUGUUCAAUAUCUUCUCUUCCUAUCGACAGAUUUUCUUGAUUUUGGUCUUAAAAGCUUUAUAUUAACGCCCUGCAACUUUUAAGACAUAAACCAUUAAAAUUGGUACCAUAGAACUGCUUUUGGCGACAGACAUGUAAAAAUCCCAUACCCCCAAGUUAUUUUUGUAAGUUGUUCAAUAUCUUCUCUUCCUAUCGACAGAUUUUCUUGAUUUUGGUCUUAAAAGCUUUGUAUUAACGCUCUGCAACUUUUAAGACAUAAACCAUUAAAAUUGGUACCAUAGAACUGCUUUUGGCGACAGACAUGUAAAAAUCCCAUACCCCCAAGUCAUAUUUUUGUAAGUUGUUCAAUAUCUUCUCUUCCUAUCGACAGAUUUUCUUGAUUUUGGUCUUAAAAGCUUUGUAUUAACGCUCUGCAACUUUUAAGACAUAAACCAUUAAAAUUGGUACCAUAGAACUGCUUUUGGUGACAGACAUGUAAAAAUCCCAUACCCCAAGUCAUAUUUUUGUAAGUUGUUCAAUAUCUUCUCUUCCUAUCGACAGAUUUUCUUGAUUUUGGUCUUAAAAGCUUUGUAUUAACGCCCUGCAACUUUUAAGACAUAAACCAUUAAAAUUGGUACGGUAGAACUGCUUUUGGCGACAGACAUGUAAAAAUCCCAUACCCCCAAGUCAUAUUUUUGUAAGUUGUUCAAUAUCUUCUCUUCCUAUCGACAGAUUUUCUUGAUUUUGGUCUUAAAAGCUUUGUAUUAACGCCCUGCAACUUUUAAGACAUAAACCAUUAAAAUUGGUACGGUAGAACUGCUUUUGGCUACAGACUUGUAAAAAUCCCAUACCCCAAGUCAUAUUUUUGUAAGUUGUUCAAUAUCUUCUCUUCCUAUCGACAGAUUUUCUUGAUUUUGGUCUUAAAAGCUUUGUAUUAACGCCCUGCAACUUUUAAGACAUAAACCAUUAAAAUUGGUACGGUAGAACUGCUUUUGGCUACAGACUUGUAAAAAUCCCAUACCCCAAGUCAUAUUUUUGUAAGUUGUUCAAUAUCUUCUCUUCCUAUCGACAGAUUUUCUUGAUUUUGGUCUUAAAAGCUUUGUAUUAACGCUCUGCAACUUUUAAGACAUAAACCAUUAAAAUUGGUACGGUAGAACUGCUUUUGGCUACAGACUUGUAAAAAUCCCAUACCCCAAGUCAUAUUUUUGUAAGUUGUUCAAUAUCUUCUCUUCCUAUCGACAGAUUUUCUUGAUUUUGGUCUUAAAAGCUUUGUAUUAACGCCCUGCAACUUUUAAGACAUAAACCAUUAAAAUUGGUACCAUAGAACUGCUUUUGGCUACAGACUUGUAAAAAUCCCAUACCCCAAGUCAUAUUUUUGUAAGUUGUUCAAUAUCUGCUCUUCCUAUGGACAGAUUUUCUUGAUUUUGGUCUUAAAAGCUUUGUAUUAACGCCCUGCAACUUUUAAGACAUAAACCAUUAAAAUUGGUACGGUAGAACUGCUUUUGGCGACAGACAUGUAAAAAUCCCAUACCCCCAAGUCAUAUUUUUGUAAGUUGUUCAAUAUCUUCUCUUCCUAUCGACAGAUUUUCUUGAUUUUGGUCUUAAAAGCUUUGUAUUAACGCCCUGCAACUUUUAAGACAUAAACCAUUAAAAUUGGUACGGUAGAACUGCUUUUGGCUACAGACUUGUAAAAAUCCCAUACCCCAAGUCAUAUUUUUGUAAGUUGUUCAAUAUCUUCUCUUCCUAUCGACAGAUUUUCUUGAUUUUGGUCUUAAAAGCUUUGUAUUAACGCCCUGCAACUUUUAAGACAUAAACCAUUAAAAUUGGUACCAUAGAACUGCUUUUGGCGACAGACAUGUAAAAAUCCCAUACCCCCAAGUCAUAUUUUUGUAAGUUGUUCAAUAUCUUCUUCUCCUAUCGACAGAUUUUCUUGAUUUUGGUCUUAAAAGCUUUGUAUUAACGCCCUGCAACUUUUAAGACAUAAACCAUUAAAAUUGGUACCAUAGAACUGCUUUUGGCGACAGACAUGUAAAAAUCCCAUACCCCCAAGUCAUAUUUUUGUAAGUUGUUUAAUAUCUUCUCUUACUAUCCACAGAUUUUCUUGAUUUUGGUCUUAAAAGCUUUGUAUUAACGCUCUGCAACUUUUAAGACAUAAACCAUUAAAAUUGGUACGGUAGAACUGCUUUUGGCUACAGACUUGUAAAAAUCCCAUACCCCAAGUCAUAUUUUUGUAAGUUGUUUAAUAUCUUCUCUUACUAUCCACAGAUUUUCUUGAUUUUGGUCUUAAAAGCUUUGUAUUAACGCCCUGCAACUUUUAAGACAUAAACCAUUAAAAUUGGUACCAUAGAACUGCUUUUGGCUACAGACUUGUAAAAAUCCCAUACCCCAAGUCAUAUUUUUGUAAGUUGUUUAAUAUCUUCUCUUACUAUCCACAGAUUUUCUUGAUUUUGGUCUUAAAAGCUUUGUAUUAACGCUCUGCAACUUUUAAGACAUAAACCAUUAAAAUUGGUACGGUAGAACUGCUUUUGGCUCCAGACUUGUAAAAAUCCCAUACCCCCAAGUCAUUUUUUCGUAAAAUGUGCAAUAUCUUCUCUUCCUAUAAACGGAUAUACUUGAUUUUGGUCUUAAAAGCUUUGAAUUAACGCUCUGCAACUUUUAAGACAUCAACCAUUAAAAUUGGUACCGUAGAACUGCUUUUGGCUCCAGACUUGUAAAAAUCCCAUACCCCCAAGUCAUUUUUUCGUAAAAUGUUCAAUAUCUUCUCUUCCUAUAAACGGAUAUACUUGAUUUUGGUCUUAAAAGCUUUGAAUUAACGCUCUGCAACUUUUAAGACAUCAACCAUUAAAAUUGGUACGGUAGAACUGCUUUUGGCUACAGACUUGUAAAAAUCCCAUACCCCCAAGUCAUAUUUUUGUAAGUUGUUCAAUAUCUUCUCUUCCCAUCGACAGAUUUUCUUGAUUUUGGUCUUAAAAGCUUUGAAUUAACGCUCUGCAACUUUUAAGACAUAAACCAUUAAAAUUGGUACGGUAGAACUGCUUUUGGCUACAGACUUGUAAAAAUCCCAUACCCCAAGUCAUAUUUUUGUAAGUUGUUCAAUAUCUUCUCUUCCUAUCGACAGAUUUUCUUGAUUUUAGUCUUAAAAGCUUUGUAUUAACGCCCUGCAACUUUUAAGACAUAAACCAUUAAAAUUGGUACCAUAGAACUGCUUUUGGCGACAGACAUGUAAAAAUCCCAUACCCCCAAGUCAUAUUGUUGUAAGUUGUUCAAUAUCUUCUCUUCCUAUCGACAGAUUUUUUUGAUUUUGGUCUUAAAAGCUUUGUAUUAACGCCCUGCAACUUUUAAGACAUAAACCAUUAAAAUUGGUACGGUAGAACUGCUUUUGGCUACAGACUUGUAAAAAUCCCAUACCCCAAGUCAUAUUUUUGUAAGUUGUUCAAUAUCUUCUCUUCCUAUCGACAGAUUUUCUUGAUUUUGGUCUUAAAAGCUUUAUAUUAACGCCCUGCAACUUUUAAGACAUAAACCAUUAAAAUUGGUACCAUAGAACUGCUUUUGGCGACAGACAUGUAAAAAUCCCAUACCCCCAAGUUAUUUUUGUAAGUUGUUCAAUAUCUUCUCUUCCUAUCGACAGAUUUUCUUGAUUUUGGUCUUAAAAGCUUUGUAUUAACGCUCUGCAACUUUUAAGACAUAAACCAUUAAAAUUGGUACCAUAGAACUGCUUUUGGCGACAGACAUGUAAAAAUCCCAUACCCCCAAGUCAUAUUUUUGUAAGUUGUUCAAUAUCUUCUCUUCCUAUCGACAGAUUUUCUUGAUUUUGGUCUUAAAAGCUUUGUAUUAACGCUCUGCAACUUUUAAGACAUAAACCAUUAAAAUUGGUACCAUAGAACUGCUUUUGGUGACAGACAUGUAAAAAUCCCAUACCCCAAGUCAUAUUUUUGUAAGUUGUUCAAUAUCUUCUCUUCCUAUCGACAGAUUUUCUUGAUUUUGGUCUUAAAAGCUUUGUAUUAACGCCCUGCAACUUUUAAGACAUAAACCAUUAAAAUUGGUACGGUAGAACUGCUUUUGGCGACAGACAUGUAAAAAUCCCAUACCCCCAAGUCAUAUUUUUGUAAGUUGUUCAAUAUCUUCUCUUCCUAUCGACAGAUUUUCUUGAUUUUGGUCUUAAAAGCUUUGUAUUAACGCCCUGCAACUUUUAAGACAUAAACCAUUAAAAUUGGUACGGUAGAACUGCUUUUGGCUACAGACUUGUAAAAAUCCCAUACCCCAAGUCAUAUUUUUGUAAGUUGUUCAAUAUCUUCUCUUCCUAUCGACAGAUUUUCUUGAUUUUGGUCUUAAAAGCUUUGUAUUAACGCCCUGCAACUUUUAAGACAUAAACCAUUAAAAUUGGUACGGUAGAACUGCUUUUGGCUACAGACUUGUAAAAAUCCCAUACCCCAAGUCAUAUUUUUGUAAGUUGUUCAAUAUCUUCUCUUCCUAUCGACAGAUUUUCUUGAUUUUGGUCUUAAAAGCUUUGUAUUAACGCCCUGCAACUUUUAAGACAUAAACCAUUAAAAUUGGUACCGUAGAACUGCUUUUGGCUACAGACUUGUAAAAAUCCCAUACCCCAAGUCAUAUUUUUGUAAGUUGUUCAAUAUCUUCUCUUCCUAUCGACAGAUUUUCUUGAUUUUGGUCUUAAAAGCUUUGUAUUAACGCCCUGCAACUUUUAAGACAUAAACCAUUAAAAUUGGUACCAUAGAACUGCUUUUGGCUACAGACUUGUAAAAAUCCCAUACCCCAAGUCAUAUUUUUGUAAGUUGUUCAAUAUCUGCUCUUCCUAUGGACAGAUUUUCUUGAUUUUGGUCUUAAAAGCUUUGUAUUAACGCCCUGCAACUUUUAAGACAUAAACCAUUAAAAUUGGUACGGUAGAACUGCUUUUGGCGACAGACAUGUAAAAAUCCCAUACCCCCAAGUCAUAUUUUUGUAAGUUGUUCAAUAUCUUCUCUUCCUAUCGACAGAUUUUCUUGAUUUUGGUCUUAAAAGCUUUGUAUUAACGCCCUCCAACUUUUAAGACAUAAACCAUUAAAAUUGGUACGGUAGAACUGCUUUUGGCUACAGACUUGUAAAAAUCCCAUACCCCAAGUCAUAUUUUUGUAAGUUGUUCAAUAUCUUCUCUUCCUAUCGACAGAUUUUCUUGAUUUUGGUCUUAAAAGCUUUGUAUUAACGCCCUGCAACUUUUAAGACAUAAACCAUUAAAAUUGGUACCAUAGAACUGCUUUUGGCGACAGACAUGUAAAAAUCCCAUACCCCCAAGUCAUAUUUUUGUAAGUUGUUCAAUAUCUUCUUCUCCUAUCGACAGAUUUUCUUGAUUUUGGUCUUAAAAGCUUUGUAUUAACGCCCUGCAACUUUUAAGACAUAAACCAUUAAAAUUGGUACCAUAGAACUGCUUUUGGCGACAGACAUGUAAAAAUCCCAUACCCCCAAGUCAUAUUUUUGUAAGUUGUUUAAUAUCUUCUCUUACUAUCCACAGAUUUUCUUGAUUUUGGUCUUAAAAGCUUUGUAUUAACGCUCUGCAACUUUUAAGACAUAAACCAUUAAAAUUGGUACGGUAGAACUGCUUUUGGCUACAGACUUGUAAAAAUCCCAUACCCCAAGUCAUAUUUUUGUAAGUUGUUUAAUAUCUUCUCUUACUAUCCACAGAUUUUCUUGAUUUUGGUCUUAAAAGCUUUGUAUUAACGCCCUGCAACUUUUAAGACAUAAACCAUUAAAAUUGGUACCAUAGAACUGCUUUUGGCUACAGACUUGUAAAAAUCCCAUACCCCAAGUCAUAUUUUUGUAAGUUGUUUAAUAUCUUCUCUUACUAUCCACAGAUUUUCUUGAUUUUGGUCUUAAAAGCUUUGUAUUAACGCUCUGCAACUUUUAAGACAUAAACCAUUAAAAUUGGUACGGUAGAACUGCUUUUGGCUACAGACUUGUAAAAAUCCCAUACCCCAAGUCAUAUUUUUGUAAGUUGUUCAAUAUCUUCUCUUCCUAUCGACAGAUUUUCUUGAUUUUGGUCUUAAAAGCUUUGUAUUAACGCCCUGCAACUUUUAAGACACAAACCAUUAAAAUUGGUACCAUAGAACUGCUUUUGGCGACAGACAUGUAAAAAUCCCAUACCCCCAAGUCAUAUUUUUGUAAGUUGUUCAAUAUCUUCUCUUCCUAUCGACAGAUUUUCUUGAUUUUGGUCUUAAAAGCUUUGUAUUAACGCCCUGCAACUUUUAAGACAUAAACCAUUAAAAUUGGUACGGUAGAACUGCUUUUGGCUACAGACUUGUAAAAAUCCCAUACCCCAAGUCAUAUUUUUGUAAGUUGUUCAAUAUCUUCUCUUCCUAUCGACAGAUUUUCUUGAUUUUGGUCUUAAAAGCUUUGUAUUAACGCCCUGCAACUUUUAAGACAUAAACCAUUAAAAUUGGUACGGUAGAACUGCUUUUGGCUACAGACUUGUAAAAAUCCCAUACCCCAAGUCAUAUUUUUGUAAGUUGUUCAAUAUCUUCUCUUCCUAUCGACAGAUUUUCUUGAUUUUGGUCUUAAAAGCUUUGUAUUAACGCCCUGCAACUUUUAAGACAUAAACCAUUAAAAUUGGUACGGUAGAACUGCUUUUGGCUACAGACUUGUAAAAAUCCCAUACCCCAAGUCAUAUUUUUGUAAGUUGUUCAAUAUCUUCUCUUCCUAUCGACAGAUUUUCUUGAUUUUGGUCUUAAAAGCUUUGUAUUAACGCCCUGCAACUUUUAAGACAUAAACCAUUAAAACUGGUACCAUAGAACUGCUUUUGGCGACAGACAUGUAAAAAUCCCAUACCCCCAAGUCAUAUUUUUGUAAGUUGUUCAAUAUCUUCUCUUCCUAUCGACAAAUUUUCUUGAUUUUGGUCUUAAAAGCUUUGUAUUAACGCCCUGCAACUUUUAAGACAUAAACCAUUAAAAUUGGUAGCAUAGAGCUGCUUUUGGCGACAGACAUGUAAAAAUCCCACACCCCAAGUCAUAUUUUUGUAAGUUGUUCAAUAUCUUCUCUUCCUAUGGACAGAUUUUCUUGAUUUUGGUCUUAAAAGCUUUGAAUUAACCCUCUGCAACUUUUAAGACAUAAACCAUUAAAAUUGGUACGGUAGAACUGCUUUUGGCUACAGACUUGUAAAAAUCCCAUACCCCAAGUCAUAUUUUUGUAAGUUGUUUAAUAUCUUCUCUUACUAUCCACAGAUUUUCUUGAUUUUGGUCUUAAAAGCUUUGUAUGAACGCCCUGCAACUUUUAAGACAUAAACCAUUAAAAUUGGUACGGUAGAACUGCUUUUGGCUACAGACUUGUAAAAAUCCCAUACCCCAAGUCAUAUUUUUGUAAGUUGUUCAAUAUCUUCUCUUCCUAUCGACAGAUUUUCUUGAUUUUGGUCUUAAAAGCUUUGAAUUAACGCUCUGCAACUUUUAAGACAUAAACCAUUAAAAUUGGUACGGUAGAACUGCUUUUGGCUACAGACUUGUAAAAAUCCCAUACCCCAAGUCAUAUUUUUGUAAGUUGUUCAAUAUCUUCUCUUCCUAUCGACAGAUUUUCUUGAUUUUAGUCUUAAAAGCUUUGUAUUAACGCCCUGCAACUUUUAAGACAUAAACCAUUAAAAUUGGUACCAUAGAACUGCUUUUGGCGACAGACAUGUAAAAAUCCCAUACCCCCAAGUCAUAUUUUUGUAAGUUGUUCAAUAUCUUCUCUUCCUAUCGACAGAUUUUCUUGAUUUUGGUCUUAAAAGCUUUGUAUUAACGCCCUGCAACUUUUAAGACAUAAACCAUUAAAAUUGGUACCAUAGAACUGCUUUUGGCUACAGACUUGUAAAAAUCCCAUACCCCAAGUCAUAUUUUUGUAAGUUGUUCAAUAUCUGCUCUUCCUAUCGACAGAUUUUCUUGAUUUUGGUCUUAAAAGCUUUGUAUUAAC
Molecule: long non-coding RNA, 11144 nt
Filed under: Anthonomus grandis grandis
Lineage: Eukaryota; Metazoa; Arthropoda; Insecta; Coleoptera; Curculionidae
Description: uncharacterized LOC126749448
Source: RNAcentral